UGCGCUGCUUCUAAUCGUCCUUUCAGA
This 27-nucleotide ribosomal RNA is filed under the name Gymnopilus pampeanus. RNAcentral describes it as "partial 28S ribosomal RNA". The record is from RNAcentral. Lineage: Eukaryota; Fungi; Basidiomycota; Agaricomycetes; Agaricales; Galerinaceae.